AUUGAACGCUGGCGGCAGGCCUAACACAUGCAAGUCGAACGAGUGGCGGACGGGUGAGUAAUGUCUGGGAAACUGCCUGAUGGAGGGGGAUAACUACUGGAAACGGUAGCUAAUAACGCAUCCCAUCCGAUGUGCCCAGAUGGGCUUAGCUAGUUGGUGGGGUAACGGCUCACACAGGCGACGCUCCCUAGGUGGUCUGAGAGGAUGACCAGCCACACUGGAACUGAGACACGGUCCAGAAUCCUACGGGAGGCAGCAGUGGGGAAUAGUGCACAAUGGGCGCAAGCCUGAUUCAGCCAUGCCGCGUGUAUGAAGAAGGCCUUCGGGUUGUAAAGUACUUUCAGCGGGGAGGCGUUACCCGCAGAAGAAGCACCGGCUAACUCCGUGCCAGCAGCCGCGGUAAUUC
This 406-nucleotide ribosomal RNA is filed under the name uncultured bacterium. RNAcentral describes it as "partial 16S ribosomal RNA". It matches the Rfam family "Bacterial small subunit ribosomal RNA", at positions 30 to 526 of the family's 1533-position model. The record is from RNAcentral.